AGCAGUCGACGCCUCACGCCUGGCGGGAAUCUGUUGUUGUUUACAUUAAUCAGGUGUCAGACAAACUAUUAUUUUUAUAGAGGCAGGAAAGCGUACCUUGAGUUGGACUAUAGAACAAAAUUUGAAUGCGAAUCAUUGUAACAAAUACAUUACAAUAACUGCAAAUCAAUUUCUUAAUCAAUUGAAUAUUACUCAGAGUACUAACCCAAGAAAAAUAGUAUCAAAUCUACAAUUUUGCAUUGAAAUCAAAUGAAUUUAUGGAAGCUGUGAGUGUGGUUGGUGGUGCAAAGGUGGUGCAUUUGCAAUUAUUUUUAAUCAAGAGGGAAGAGUCAUAGCCAAAGGAGCUUUGUUGACAGUGCCUGAAUUAAUUAGCAAUGCAGCGAGUAUUUUGAUAAUGCUUGCAAUGCCAAAUAAACCCUCUUUACAUCCAGAUUUAACUUUUCUCAACUAUUACCAAUCCAUAAUAAGUAACAUAAAAGAUUUGAAAAAAAAUGGAACAACAGUUAUUUCUAUUGGAGGCGGACCAAGAGACAUACUUGUACCAUCUUUUCAAACAAUUGAUGAACAUGCAGAUAUAAAUACUCUUACCACAAGUAUUCCCUGGUGUUUGGAGAUCUACUGAUCAUUUAUGUAUUUUAUGGUGUAAACAAUUAAUACUUAAUAUUGUAAGAUCUCUUUUUGAUUGUGUUGAUACAUCACAGAAACCUCCAGCCAUGACUGACAAUAUUGAGACUAGAUUAAAAGCAUUCAAGUGGCACUUGGUACAGCGAGGAACUAAAGAAUAACAUUGGCCCAGAACAAGUUAUGCAGAAAAAGUUGAAUUAUCAAAUGAAAAUGGUGAGUGAAUUGAAAAACUUGAAAGGCAAUAUGUUUGGAGCAGUAAAGAUUAUUUGAAAAGUUUAUAAAAAUCAGCAGUAAUUUAUUGAAUGAUGAGACUAGAUACACCUGUUGAUAUUCUAUCUGUAAAUGCAAUUAAUUUGAGAUCCCAAGAUUGGAUUUUUACUUGUUCUACAUCAGAAUCUUAAGGAUGAUUUUUUCAAUAUUGAUAAUACCAACAGACCAGCAUUUAUGAAUUGAAAAUAGUGAUUGCUAGCUCUUGGUUCUGUGCCUUAUUAUUGCUAACAAAUUCAGUUUAAUUAAAUAGAAAUAAAAACAAAGUGUCACUUACACGCAAGGAGCCGUAUACUAUAUGCCAGUGAAAUGAGUGUGGCCAACUAUUAUGAAAAACAGAUAGAAUUAAGAGUUGUGGAAGUUGCGGAAGAGUUGAAACUUGUGGAAUUGACGAUGGAAGCUCUUACACACAAGGGCUAGUUCCUAGAAUCAAAUUGCUAGGUCAUUCGUGCAGCAAUGGUAUAAAUACCUAUAUAUGUACAGCAGUAGAUCAGUAUGCAGUAUCUUAUGGCGAUAAGGGUUGCCAUUAUAGAAAUCUUGCAAAUGAUGUUUUCAUCACUAUUGCAACACACAGGAUAUAAGGAAUUAUUAUAUAGAACAUCGAGUUCUCAAACUGACUGUAGUAGUUCCUCCGAAAAUUCAACAAGAAGUUGUAUUUCAUCCAUCUCUAAAAUUCAGAAGAUGAUUAAGUGGGCUUGGGCUCAAGGAUUUGAUAUAAUACAAGGUGCUGAACAGUUAAGAGGCAAAUUAGUUAAUACUAGAAAAUGGAUUGGUGCUACUGAAGUUGCAACCCUAUUAUCAAGUUUAAGAUUUAAGUAAGUAAUUUUAUGAAAAAUAAACAGGAUUUACAGAAAUGUUAACAAUUGAAAAUGUAGGUGCCAGCUUAUGGACUUUCUUCGAUCAAUUAGUCUCAAUUGAAGCCAUCCAGAAAUGUUUAAAUGGCUUUUAAAUUAUUUCCCAACAGAAGAAGAUUCUAAGCCUCCUUUUUAUCUUCAGCAUGAGGGUAAAAUAUUACAACCUUUUUAAUAAGCCUUUUUAAUGGUAUGAUAUUUGCUCCUGUCAUCAUGCUCAUGUCCUUGAUCCAAGUCAUUAUAGUAAAUCUCUAGGGUGAAUUGGAGUUACCCUAAUAUGUUAUUGACAAAUUAAAAUAUUGUAUCUGCGUAAUGUUUUUUAUUCAAUAGUACAUAAUCAUUGGAACUCUUUACUUAUAUUUUAUUGUACUGUAAAACAUUAUUGCGCACUAUUUCAAAUUUCUAAACAAUGAAAAUCAUAACUUAUAUAAAUUCUUGGAUACAUUAAUUAAUUCUGUUCAUAAACUACAUAAAUAUUAACAUUUUUCAGAAAAUUAACUUUAUUACUAUUUUCUUUGUUUAUAUAAUGUUUUACAAGCAUAAAAAGGUCAAUACAACAUUAAAA
Molecule: long non-coding RNA, 2307 nt
Organism: Trichogramma pretiosum
Lineage: Eukaryota; Metazoa; Arthropoda; Insecta; Hymenoptera; Trichogrammatidae
Exons: 6
Source: RefSeq, a predicted model, not a curated record